CUGUAGUUAGUCAGAAUUUGAUUUUGGAUCUAUGCUAGUACAGGAUGGUUUUGAUUUCAAUUUCAAUAAAAAUUUUUAUUUCAUUUAUUUAUGAAAUAAAUUGAUUGCAUGUGAUCUUUUAAUUGACAGUCUUUAUCACUUACAUGUUAAUGUAAAUAUGAAUAUAAAUGAGCAAGUAGUGAGUACCGUAGGUCAAAAGAGAUCCAGAGAUGAAAUUAACCAGAAGUACUUGUGGCAUCAU
Molecule: long non-coding RNA, 241 nt
Filed under: Elaeis guineensis (African oil palm)
Lineage: Eukaryota; Viridiplantae; Streptophyta; Magnoliopsida; Arecales; Arecaceae
Description: long non-coding RNA (EGUI_LNC003799)
Source: RNAcentral